RNAcentral lists this small nucleolar RNA (135 nucleotides) under Castor canadensis (American beaver). The record is from RNAcentral. Lineage: Eukaryota; Metazoa; Chordata; Mammalia; Rodentia; Castoridae.
UCUCUAAUACAACAAUUGGAAAAUAAAAAUGACUAAUGACCUAUUGAGCCAUCAAGAAAGGGCAGAGUGAAAAACACACUUUGGGUGAAAUGCAGCAUGUUGUGCUGUUUUGCUUCAAUCAGUGGUGUGACAAGG